UACGUAGGGGGCAAGCGUUGUCCGGAAUCAUUGGGCGUAAAGCGCGUGUAGGCGGCUUGGUAAGUCUGCUCUGAAAGCCCGGGGCUCAACCCCGGGAGGCGGGUGGAUACUGUCAAGCUCGAGUCCGGAAGAGGAGUGUGGAAUUCCUGGUGUAGCGGUGGAAUGCGCAGAUAUCAGGAGGAACACCAAUAGCGAAGGCAGCUCGCUGGGACGUUACUGACACUGAGGCGCGAAAGCGUGGGGAGCGAACAGG
RNAcentral lists this ribosomal RNA (253 nucleotides) under uncultured bacterium. RNAcentral describes it as "partial 16S ribosomal RNA". It matches the Rfam family "Bacterial small subunit ribosomal RNA", at positions 524 to 776 of the family's 1533-position model. The record is from RNAcentral.